Molecule: ribosomal RNA, 744 nt
Filed under: uncultured Acidovorax sp.
Lineage: Bacteria; Pseudomonadati; Pseudomonadota; Betaproteobacteria; Burkholderiales; Comamonadaceae
Description: bacterial SSU rRNA
Rfam family: Bacterial small subunit ribosomal RNA
Source: RNAcentral
ACGCUGGCGGCAUGCCUUACACAUGCAAGUCGAACGGUAACAGGUCUUCGGAUGCUGACGAGUGGCGAACGGGUGAGUAAUACAUCGGAACGUGCCCGAUCGUGGGGGAUAACGGAGCGAAAGCUUUGCUAAUACCGCAUACGAUCUACGGAUGAAAGCAGGGGACCGCAAGGCCUUGCGCGGACGGAGCGGCCGAUGGCAGAUUAGGUAGUUGGUGGGAUAAAAGCUUACCAAGCCGACGAUCUGUAGCUGGUCUGAGAGGACGACCAGCCACACUGGGACUGAGACACGGCCCAGACUCCUACGGGAGGCAGCAGUGGGGAAUUUUGGACAAUGGGCGAAAGCCUGAUCCAGCCAUGCCGCGUGCAGGAUGAAGGCCUUCGGGUUGUAAACUGCUUUUGUACGGAACGAAAAGACUCCUUCUAAUAAAGGGGGUCCAUGACGGUACCGUAAGAAUAAGCACCGGCUAACUACGUGCCAGCAGCCGCGGUAAUACGUAGGGUGCAAGCGUUAAUCGGAAUUACUGGGCGUAAAGCGUGCGCAGGCGGUUAUAUAAGACAGAUGUGAAAUCCCCGGGCUCAACCUGGGAACUGCAUUUGUGACUGUAUAGCUAGAGUACGGCAGAGGGGGAUGGAAUUCCGCGUGUAGCAGUGAAAUGCGUAGAUAUGCGGAGGAACACCGAUGGCGAAGGCAAUCCCCUGGGCCUGUACUGACGCUCAUGCACGAAAGCGUGGGGAGCAAACA